This 254-nucleotide ribosomal RNA is filed under the name uncultured bacterium. Its description in RNAcentral is "partial 16S ribosomal RNA". It matches the Rfam family "Bacterial small subunit ribosomal RNA", at positions 527 to 779 of the family's 1533-position model. The record is from RNAcentral.
CGGAGGGGCUAGCGUUGUUCGGAAUUACUGGGCGUAAAGCGCACGUAGGCGGAUCGGAAAGUUGGGGUGAAAUACCCGGGGCGUCAACCUCGGAACUGCCUUCAAAACUACUGGUCUGGAGUUCGAGAGAGGUGAGUGGAAUUCCGAGUGUAGAGGUGAAAUUCGUAGAUAUUCGGAGGAACACCAGUGGCGAAGGCGGCUCACUGGCUCGAUACUGACGCUGAGGUGCGAAAGCGUGGGGAGCAAACAGGAUU